CCUACGGGGGCUGCAGUGGGGAAUAUUGGACAAUGGGCGAAAGCCUGAUCCAGCCAUGCCGCGUGUGUGAAGAAGGCCUUCGGGUUGUAAAGCACUUUCAGUGGGGAAGAAAGCCUUGGGGCUAAUACCCUCGAGGAAGGACAUCACCCACAGAAGAAGCACCGGCUAACUCCGUGCCAGCAGCCGCGGUAAUACGGAGGGUGCGAGCGUUAAUCGGAAUUACUGGGCGUAAAGCGCGCGUAGGCGGUCUGAUAAGCCGGUUGUGAAAGCCCCGGGCUCAACCUGGGAACGGCAUCCGGAACUGUCAGGCUAGAGUGCAGGAGAGGAAGGUAGAAUUCCCGGUGUAGCAGUGAAAUGCGUAGAGAUCGGGAGGAAUACCAGUGGCGAAGGCGGCCUUCUGGACUGACACUGACGCUGAGGUGCGAAAGCGUGGGUAGCAAACAGGAUUAGAUACCCUUGUAGUC
RNAcentral lists this ribosomal RNA (464 nucleotides) under Vreelandella stevensii. RNAcentral's name for it is "partial 16S ribosomal RNA". It matches the Rfam family "Bacterial small subunit ribosomal RNA", at positions 338 to 795 of the family's 1533-position model. The record is from RNAcentral. Lineage: Bacteria; Pseudomonadati; Pseudomonadota; Gammaproteobacteria; Oceanospirillales; Halomonadaceae.